Molecule: ribosomal RNA, 2617 nt
Filed under: Armatimonadota bacterium
Lineage: Bacteria; Bacillati; Armatimonadota
Description: Armatimonadetes bacterium (sediment metagenome) partial 23S ribosomal RNA
Rfam family: Bacterial large subunit ribosomal RNA
Source: RNAcentral
UUUGGUCAAGCUACAAAGAGCGAAUGGUGGAUGCCUUGGGGCAAAGAGCCGAUGAAGGGCGGGGCUAGCGCCGAAACGCUCCGGGGAGCAGCCAGCAUGCUUUGAUCCGGAGAUUCCCGAAUGAGGCAACUCGGCUGGAGUUACGUCCAGUCAGCCGGCGGUGAAUCCAUAGCCGCCGGCGGGGAACCGGGUGAACUGAAACAUCUUAGUAGCCCGAGGAAAAGAAAGCGAAGCGAUUCCGUAAGUAGCGGCGAGCGAAAGCGGAACAGCCUAAACCUUGCGAGCUUAGUGGAAUACGGUCCUAUGCUUGUAUGGUGUAGUGGGAAGUAUCAGGCAGAACCGUAAGUUAUGCCGGGAAGUGACAAAACCAAUCUUUAGCCGAAGUCCUCUGGAAAGUGGAGCCACAGGAGGUGAGAGCCCUGUAGGCGAAAGGGAUUGGUCUUCCGAUACUCUCCCGAGUAGCGCGGGACACGAGUAAUCUUGCGUGAAUCUGGGCGGACCACCGUCUAAGGCUAAAUACUCUUUGCCACCGAUAGCGUAUAGUAACGUGAGUGAAAGGUGAAAAGUACCCCGGGAGGGGAGUGAAAUAGAACCUGAAACCGUAUGCCCACGAACAGUCAUAGCACCAUGGAUAGAGGUUAGAUGUAAGGGGUUAGAGGUAAGAGAGACUCGGCUUGAGCCGGGUUGUUAUCUGCUAGCUCUUACUUCUUACUUCUUACCUCUAACCUCUAUCCGGUGUGGUGGCGUGCCUUUUGCAUAAUGAUCCGGCGAGUUGCUUAUGUGUUGCAAGGUUAAGCGUCAUUAGACGUGGAGCCGCAGCGAAAGCGAGUCCGAAAUGGGCGUUUUAGUAGCACAUAGCAGACCCGAAACCGAGUGAUCUACCCAUGGUCAGGUUGAAGUCAGCCUAACCGCUGAUGGAGGACCGAACCAGUGUCGGUUGAAAACGGCUUGGAUGAACUGUGGGUAGCAGGUGAAAUGCCAAUCGAACUCGGAAAUAGCUGGUUCUCUCCGAAAUGCAUUUAGGUGCAGCGUCACGUGUUUUCUUACGCAGGUAGAGCACUGAAUGGCCUAGGGGCCCUACCAGGUUACCGAAGUCAAUCAAACUCCGAAUGGCGUAAGAUGAAGCGUGGCAGUGAGACUGCGGGAGAUAAGUUUCGUAGUCAAAAGGGGAACAGCCCAGACCACCGGCUAAGGUCCCUGAGUGCUGGCUAAGUGUAAAAGGAUGUGAGAUUGCAUAGACAGCCAGGAUGUUGGCUUAGAAGCAGCCAUCGUCUAAGAAGUGCGUAACAGCUUACUGGUCGAAUGUGAUCUUGCGCCGAUAAUGUAAGGGGGCUCAAGCCAGCCACCGAAGCCGUGGGAUUCGAGGUCCGAAGUCUGAAGUCAGAAGUCCGAACGAGUAUGUCCAGCGUUAGCGAUGGGCGUUUCGGACCUCCGACCUCGGAUUUCGGACUUCGAAUCGGUAGGAGAGCGUUCCUUGCGGGUGGAAGCCGUAGCGUAAGCAGCGGUGGACUGCAGGGAAGUGAGGAUGCCGGAAUGAGUAGCGAAAAGGGAAGUGAGAAUCUUCCCCGCCGAAAGCCUAAGGGUUCUUAAGGAAGGAUCGUCCUCUUGAGUUUAGUCGGGCCUAAGCCGAGGCCGAAAGGCGUAGGCGAUGGACAGCAGGUUAUUAUUCCUGCGCCAGGAGCUGGCGUUUGAGCAAUGGGGGGACGCUGGAUGACGGAUCAAGCACGGCGUUGGUUGACCGUGUUUCUGCUUAGAGGUGGCCGAUAGGUAAAUCCGUCGGCGUAAUCCUUGGAGCAGAAGGAGUUGAGGAGAAAUCCAAGGCGAACUGGUCCCGAUUUCAGCCAAGAAAAGCCUCUAGCGAGCUAAGCUCCUGACCGUACCGCAAACCGACACAGGUAGGCAGGUAGAGAAUACCAAGGCGCGCGAGAUAACCCUCGUUAAGGAACUAGGCAAGUUGACCCCGUAACUUCGGGAGAAGGGGUGCCCUGGUGGGACGCUGCUGUAACGCAGUGGGUUCACUGGGGUCGCAGUGACAAGGCCCGAGCGACUGUUUACCAAAAACACAGGUCUCUGCUAAGCCGAAAGGCGAAGUAUAGGGGCUGACGCCUGCCCAAUGCCAGAAGGUUAAUAGGAGGGGUCAUCCCGAGCUUGCUCGGGAGAAGCCCUGAAUUGAAGCCCUGGUGAAUGGCGGCCGUAACUAUAACGGUCCUAAGGUAGCGAAAUUCCUUGUCGGGUAAGUUCCGACCUGCACGAAUGGCGUAACGACUUGGGCGCUGUCUCAACGAGGGACUCGGCGAAAUUGUAGCAUGCGUGAAGAUGCGCAUUACCCGCGACAGGACGGAAAGACCCCGUGGAGCUUUACUACACCUUGAUAUUGACUUCUGGGUUAGUAUGUAGAGGAUAGGUGGGAGGCGCAAGCCAACGGUGGAAUACCACCCUUAUUAGCUUGGAAGUCUAACUUUGGCGUGUGAAUCCACGCCGAGAACAGUAUCAGGCGGGUAGUUUGACUGGGGCGGUCGCCUCCUAAAAGGUAACGGAGGCGUCCAAAGGUUCCCUCAGGCUGGUUGGCAAUCAGCCUCCUAGAGUAUAAGGGCAUAAGGGAGCCUGACAGAGAGAG